AAUGAAUGUGAGCGAUUUCACUUUGAAUCUUGAUGUUUUGUAUCAGAAUUCCUAUAUUUUAUAAUGUGUUUUUCUUUCUUCAAAGUUCAAAAGGUAGAUUGUAUGAGGAUAUGAACACUUCUCUCGCCAUUGAAGAAUAUAUAAACGUUAUGGAAUAUGUCGCUGGAGGAGAGCUAUUUGACAAGUUUGUAGCGCAACGCUUCAGUGACGAUGAGAGAUAUAAUGACUUUACUUAUGUGAAAAGAUACAUUAACUGAAGAGGAAGCUUGGUUUUAUGUCGGAGAAACUGUUUUGGCAAUCGAAUCCAUUCACAAACAUAACUAUAUUCAGAGGAAAAUGAUUUCACUGCUGCAAAGAACUUAAGUGGGGCUCUUCAAAGUGACGGACGCCCUGCUGUACCGAGACGCACUCAACAGGAGCAACUGCAACAUUGGCAGAGAAAUAGGAGGAUGCUGGUAUGUUAUUUUUGUUUAGAGUAAAAUGCGAUUUUUGUCGCUGAGGUUUGGCCAGUUUUGCGACUUUUGUCCAAAGGUUUGUUUUUCCGCAUCUAGAUCCAAAAGUUUUGAUGAAUAGUAGGACCCGAUGUUAACAUGUGUGUGUAGGCAAUUGAUGAAUAUUGAAUGUAUAUGUUACAAAUAAAGAUAUGUAUGUUGUGUUGAUG
Helianthus annuus (common sunflower) is the source of this 661-nucleotide long non-coding RNA. RefSeq lists it as uncharacterized. The record is from RefSeq and is a predicted model, not a curated record. NCBI's taxonomy places the organism in Eukaryota, Viridiplantae, Streptophyta, Magnoliopsida, Asterales, Asteraceae. The transcript has 4 exons.